This 468-nucleotide ribosomal RNA is filed under the name uncultured bacterium. RNAcentral's name for it is "partial 16S ribosomal RNA". It matches the Rfam family "Bacterial small subunit ribosomal RNA", at positions 28 to 507 of the family's 1533-position model. The record is from RNAcentral.
GACGAACGCUGGCGGCGUGCUUAACACAUGCAAGUCGAACGGAAAGGCCCUGCUUUUGUGGGGUGCUCGAGUGGCGAACGGGUGAGUAACACGUGAGUAACCUGCCCUUGACUUUGGGAUAACUUCAGGAAACUGGGGCUAAUACCGGAUAGGAGCUCCUGCUGCAUGGUGGGGGUUGGAAAGUUUCGGCGGUUGGGGAUGGAUUCGCGGCUUAUCAGCUUGUUGGUGGGGUAGUGGCUUACCAAGGCUGUGACGGGUAGCCGGCCUGAGAGGGUGACCGGCCACAUUGGGACUGAGAUACGGCCCAGACUCCUACGGGAGGCAGCAGUGGGGAAUAUUGCACAAUGGGCGGAAGCCUGAUGCAGCAACGCCGCGUGCGGGAUGACGGCCUUCGGGUUGUAAACCGCUUUCGCCUGUGACGAAGCGUGAGUGACGGUAAUGGGUAAAGAAGCACCGGCUAACUACGUG